UACAGAGGGUGCAAGCGUUGUUCGGAAUUAUUGGGCGUAAAGCGCGUGUAGGCGGCUUUGCAAGUCGGGUGUGAAAGCCCUCAGCUUAACUGAGGAAGUGCGCCCGAAACUGCAGAGCUUGAGUACCGGAGAGGAUGGCGGAAUUCCCCAAGUAGAGGUGAAAUUCGUAGAUAUGGGGAGGAACACCGGUGGCGAAGGCGGCCAUCUGGACGGAUACUGACGCUGAGACGCGAAAAGCGUGGGUAGCAAACAGG
RNAcentral lists this ribosomal RNA (254 nucleotides) under uncultured bacterium. Its description in RNAcentral is "partial 16S ribosomal RNA". It matches the Rfam family "Bacterial small subunit ribosomal RNA", at positions 524 to 776 of the family's 1533-position model. The record is from RNAcentral.